GUGGGGAAUCUUGCGCAAUGGGCGAAAGCCUGACGCAGCCAUGCCGCGUGAAUGAUGAAGGUCUUAGGAUUGUAAAAUUCUUUCACCGGGGACGAUAAUGACGGUACCCGGAGAAGAAGCUCCGGCUAACUUCGUGCCAGCAGCCGCGGUAAGACGAGGGAUCCUAGCGUUGCUCGGAAUCAUUGGGCGUAAAGAGGGCGUAGGUGGCUUGGUAAGUCAGGUGUGAAAGCCCAGGGCUCAACCCUGGAAGUGCAUUUGAUACUGCUGAGCUUGAGUGUCGGAGAGGUUACCGGAAUACCUGGUGUAGUGGUGAAAUACGUAGAUAUCAGGUGGAACACCGGAGGCGAAGGCGGGUAACUGGACGAACACUGACACUGAGGCCCGAAAGCGUGGGGAUCAAACAGGAUUAGAUACCCCAGUAGUCC
Molecule: ribosomal RNA, 425 nt
Filed under: uncultured bacterium
Lineage: Bacteria
Description: partial 16S ribosomal RNA
Rfam family: Bacterial small subunit ribosomal RNA
Source: RNAcentral